AAGUCGUAACAAGGUCUCCGUAGGUGAACCUGCGGAGGGAUCAUUACCAAAGAUGGCGGGCCUCCGGGCCCGCCGUCCCCCAACCCUUUGUUGACCAAGACCUUUUUGGCCUCGGGGGCAUGAGCGGUCCGCCGCCGCCCCGCGGACAGCCGCAACGACUGUCUCUUUACGUCGGAGUAUUGAUUGAAUAAAUGAAAA
Molecule: unclassified non-coding RNA, 198 nt
Filed under: plant metagenome
Description: partial contains small subunit ribosomal RNA and internal transcribed spacer 1
Rfam family: Eukaryotic small subunit ribosomal RNA (bases 1-46)
Source: RNAcentral